GUAUAACCCUCCUCCGUUCUUGCGGCGUGCCUCGUUGUGCAUGCGUCGUUCUCCUACACAACGAGGUACACAGGCGUACACAAGCGCCGGCAAUAUACGUACAUACGUUUACACAGACAUGCAUGCGCGCGUCUCUCACACUCCGGUUCUGUAGAUUUUUGUCUCUCGCUCGUUUCUCGGCCUGUGGAGCUCCGUGUUUUGCCACCCUUUCACGUGUCUCGCUCCUGGUUGUGUUGCUUGUGAGCCUUCCAUCGUACGUGCGACUUGCUCCUGCGCUCGUGUGGUGGUGUUCGCUCACGUCCUGGCGUACGGUGGCAGAGCGGGGGCCCCUGCUUGGCGUUGUGCCCUCUUUUGUGCUGCUUUGCUGUGCUGUGCGGCACCUCUCGUCGGCUGCUGUGGGUCUUGGUCUCCCUCUCUGUCUCUCCCCUCGCACGCGUCCGACAGGGCUGCAUGGGAAAGCGGGAGGAUAAGACGCACUAUCCACGUCUCGCUCUCUCACGGCUCCUCCUUCGUGCUUCUGAGGCCGAGAGGCAAGCGUGAAUACAUCAAGGGCGAGCAGGCGAACCAUGGAGGAUGACUACUACUAUGAUGAUGACGGGGACUACGGCGAUUACUACGACAACGGCACCGACGAGGUGGUCGACGUGAGCCCGUUAGAGCUCAAGUACGUGGAUGGUAAGAGCUUCAUGCAGAGCAACGUGGAGGAGAGUCUGCGGUGCUUGCAGGAGGUCGUGGCUGAGGACAGCGAGCACGGCAGAUGGACUUUCAAGGCACUGAAGAUGCUCGCGCGCGCCUGUCGUAUCGCGAAGCUGUACGACGCUAUGGCGGACUACUACACGCAGGUCGUGCAUUUUAUUCACCCCGACAUUGGCGCUGCUGCGGUUGCGAAGGCGAUGCUCAAGUUCACCGAAGAGAGCCUGCGAGUGCCAGCGGAGUGGCGAGGGCGCACCCUGCGCGCUACACUGGAGGUGGCCACUGCGCAACCAGAGUCCUAUCGGAACGUCAUUGUGCCCACCCUCCUGCACCGUGCCACCCUCUUUCUUGAAGAAGACAAAUGCGAGGAGUCUCUCGUAGACUUGCAGGCGGCACUGCAGCAGUGCGAUGAAUCUAUCGUCACCAUGGCGCAGAUCAACGCCAACUGUGUGUACCACAUUCGUACCCUUCAACUCACUGCGUAUCGCAAGCUCAACCGCUACGCAGAGCUGCGACGUGCCUACUACGAAUUAGGCAGGGUGCAUGCAGCGUUGCCGUCGCUACGCAUGAUUGGCAGCGCCAUGGAGUCGGCUGGGCACUUGUUCCUGCACGACGCUGACUGGGCGGCAGCUCACCGUGCAUUCUCUUCGGCUCUGCGUUGCCACACAGAGAGCGGUGAUGCGCAGCAGUACAACGUGGUGAAGUACGUAGUGCUCGCCACCAUUAUGGCUGGGCUGCCGGUGGACGUGUUUGCGCAGGAGGAGACGCUGGCGAAUCACCCGUCUGUUCGCCCAGUACGUGCCCUCUGGCAAGCCUUUGUCGCAUUGGACGUGUCGACUUUUCUGCAGGUGUUGCACGCUCCCGAUAACGCGGCGUGCUUCGCGAAGGACGCGGAGUUCGCAGCGUACGUGGAGCCGAUGAUGUUCCAGCUGCGCACCAACUACCUCAUCGCUUACUCCAAGAGCUUUGGCACGCUGUCACUUCUGGAGCUCGGUGCUCGGCUGCAGCUGCAGGAGCAACCGUGCAAGGAGCUGUGCACGAGCGCCAUUCUCCUGGGUCUCAUCAACGCUCGCAUCGACGAUGCGCGGAAACUGCUGCUGUUUCAGCGUGCAUCGCGCGCCGUGCCUAGCAGCGUGGCUGUGUUGCGCGACUUGUCCGACUUGACGAGCGAACUCUGCUGCAAGUAGGCGUAGUUGCGGCUGUGAGUGGCGGGUGCGUUAGCGGGCCCUCUCUUCCUCUGUUUUCAUCCGCGCUGCGGCUGAACAUGACUCAGGCGUCGCAUAGGGGGGGCCCGCUGCUCUCCAUCUUUCUCCUUCCCUUCCCGCCCCGCCACGAUGGCGCCACCACUUUUCGCGGUUUGAAAACUGUUGUCCUUUCGCUGUUUCGUGUGGUGGCUACUUGUGACACACCUGCCGCUGAGAUCAGAGGAACAGACGGAUAUC
RNAcentral lists this unclassified non-coding RNA (2135 nucleotides) under Leishmania donovani. RNAcentral describes it as "gene:LdHU3.25.2790(CDS-product:PCI_domain_contain ing_protein_putative)". The record is from RNAcentral. Lineage: Eukaryota; Euglenozoa; Kinetoplastea; Trypanosomatida; Trypanosomatidae.